This 196-nucleotide small RNA is filed under the name Pilibacter termitis. Its description in RNAcentral is "Listeria sRNA rli28". It matches the Rfam family "Listeria sRNA rli28". Lineage: Bacteria; Bacillati; Bacillota; Bacilli; Lactobacillales; Enterococcaceae. The record is from Rfam by way of RNAcentral.
UUUAGAAUGGUUUUAGGGAACGAAAGUUUAAUUGACGGUAGCUAAAUACUUUUUGAGAGGAAGUGAUGCCUAUGAAAGUAGGAUUUAAAGUUCGCAUUCUAACGAAAGGAUUAGCACUUAAAAUGACUGUUGCAGAGGCUCUGUCAUUGAUGUUAGCGUUUGGCUCUUUUGUCGCAACGCUCAUCUUUGGUAUCCU